Long non-coding RNA from Octopus sinensis (East Asian common octopus), 129 nucleotides. RefSeq lists it as uncharacterized. NCBI's taxonomy places the organism in Eukaryota, Metazoa, Mollusca, Cephalopoda, Octopoda, Octopodidae. The record is from RefSeq and is a predicted model, not a curated record. The transcript is spliced from 3 exons.
UUUUAGAGUUAGGGUUAGGGGAAAGAAGUGAAAAAUGAAGAAAUUGGGAGGGGUGGGGCGAAAAUUUCAAAAUGCCGGUUUUUGGCAAUUUUCCGGAAUCUCCGUAUCUGAAAACGGGGGUUUUGGACA